Molecule: ribosomal RNA, 901 nt
Filed under: uncultured Comamonadaceae bacterium
Lineage: Bacteria; Pseudomonadati; Pseudomonadota; Betaproteobacteria; Burkholderiales; Comamonadaceae
Description: bacterial SSU rRNA
Rfam family: Bacterial small subunit ribosomal RNA
Source: RNAcentral
AUUGAACGCUGGCGGCAUGCCUUACACAUGCAAGUCGAACGGCAGCACGGGAGCAAUCCUGGUGGCGAGUGGCGAACGGGUGAGUAAUACAUCGGAACGUGCCCAAUCGUGGGGGAUAACGCAGCGAAAGCUGUGCUAAUACCGCAUACGAUCUACGGAUGAAAGCAGGGGAUCGCAAGACCUUGCGCGAAUGGAGCGGCCGAUGGCAGAUUAGGUAGUUGGUGAGGUAAAGGCUCACCAAGCCGUCGAUCUGUAGCUGGUCUGAGAGGACGACCAGCCACACUGGGACUGAGACACGGCCCAGACUCCUACGGGAGGCAGCAGUGGGGAAUUUUGGACAAUGGGCGAAAGCCUGAUCCAGCCAUGCCGCGUGCAGGAUGAAGGCCUUCGGGUUGUAAACUGCUUUUGUACGGAACGAAACGGCCUUUUCUAAUAAAGAGGGCUAAUGACGGUACCGUAAGAAUAAGCACCGGCUAACUACGUGCCAGCAGCCGCGGUAAUACGUAGGGUGCAAGCGUUAAUCGGAAUUACUGGGCGUAAAGCGUGCGCAGGCGGUUAUGUAAGACAGUUGUGAAAUCCCCGGGCUCAACCUGGGAACUGCAUCUGUGACUGCAUAGCUAGAGUACGGUAGAGGGGGAUGGAAUUCCGCGUGUAGCAAUGAAAUGCGUAGAAUGCGGAGGAACACCGAUGGCAAAGGCAUUCCCCUGGACCUGUCCUGAGGCUCUUGACAAAGCGUGGGGGGCAACCAGGGGAAAUACCCUGAUUGUCCAACGAGAAUUCCACAAUAGAAGUAGGCUCUCGAUACCGCUCAACCUCCCGGGGGGCCCGUGCCUACCUUCCUCCCCCUCCCCCCGCCCACUAUUAGGGGAUGAGGAGGUCGCCCCACUACCCCGAACAUCUC